RNAcentral lists this ribosomal RNA (470 nucleotides) under uncultured bacterium. Its description in RNAcentral is "bacterial SSU rRNA". It matches the Rfam family "Bacterial small subunit ribosomal RNA", at positions 30 to 518 of the family's 1533-position model. The record is from RNAcentral.
AUUGAACGCUGGCGGUAUGCUUAACACAUGCAAGUCGAACGGUAACAGGCCUUCGGGCGCUGUCGAGUGGCGGACGGGUGAGUAACGCGUAGGAAUCUGCCUCAUAGUGGGGGACAACGUGGGGAAACUCACGCUAAUACCGCAUACGCCCUACGGGGGAAAGCGGGGGAUCUUCGGACCUCGCGCUAUGAGAUGAGCCUGCGUUAGAUUAGCUAGUUGGUAGGGUAAAGGCCCUACCAAGGCGACGAUCUAUAGCUGGUCUGAGAGGACGAUCAGCCACACUGGGACUGAGACACGGCCCAGACUCCUACGGGAGGCAGCAGUGGGGAAUAUUGGACAAUGGGCGCAAGCCUGAUCCAGCAAUACCGCGUGUGUGAAGAAGGCCCUAGGGUUGUAAAGUUCUUUACCCGUGUACGAUGAUGACGGUAACGGGGAAGUAAGACUCCGGCUAACUUCGUGCCAGCAGCCGC